RNAcentral lists this ribosomal RNA (253 nucleotides) under uncultured bacterium. Its description in RNAcentral is "partial 16S ribosomal RNA". It matches the Rfam family "Bacterial small subunit ribosomal RNA", at positions 524 to 776 of the family's 1533-position model. The record is from RNAcentral.
UACGGAGGGUGCAAGCGUUAUCCGGACUCACUGGGUUUAAAGGGUGUGUAGGCGGAUUUUUAAGUCAGUGGUGAAAUCUCCGGGCUCAACCCGGAAACUGCCAUUGAUACUAUUAGUCUUGAAUUCUGUUGAGGUGGGCGGAAUACAUCAUGUAGCGGUGAAAUGCUUAGAUAUGAUGUAGAACACCGAUUGCGAAGGCAGCUCACUAAGCAGACAUUGACGCUGAGGCACGAAAGCGUGGGGAUCAAACAGG